AACACUGUUAACCUGCGGUACCUGCGGAAGGAUCAUUAACCGUUACAAACAGUGUGUGCUGCGGCCCCCGAGGUGAGGCAACGAGCCUUCGGGAGGUCUGGGGUCCGCCCCUUCACGCGCACGCGUCUGCCAUCCUUACUUUACGAGCACCUUCUGUUCUCCCUCGGCAUGCGUCCUGCGCUGCCGUUGGAAUUACAAAACUCUUUUUUGCAUCUAGCAUUACCUGUUCCGACAAUAACA
This 240-nucleotide unclassified non-coding RNA is filed under the name soil metagenome. RNAcentral describes it as "partial contains 5.8S ribosomal RNA, internal transcribed spacer 2, and large subunit ribosomal RNA". The record is from RNAcentral.